UUGACUUUUUGACCGAGAAAGAAUUUGGAAAAUCCACUUGUACCAUUGCAUAGAGCACGACAAAACGAGUCCGUAGACACGUAAUGGGCUCAAUUCCGAGUCGUAUUGAAGAUAAUACGAUCAAAAUACGAAAAAGGGCAAAAUUGAAAUUUUGGAAAAAAAAUCAGAUUUUAAAAUCAGACCCUCCCUUUCUCUCUCCUCACUCUCUCUUCUUCCUCGCGACAUCUUCCCCCCUCUGGUUUUCCAGCCGACAUCACCCCUCCUCCCAGCCACCACCAGCGACGCCGGCCAGCCCAGAUCAGACUGGCGACUCCCCAGCCUCCUUGCUCGACGUCCUCCCCCGCCGCCUGCCGCCACGAAUCGCUGGAGAGAACCAGAAAAUCGCGGCAGAUUUUCUCCGAUUUUCAAAUCCCUCAAACUCCCUCCUCCGGCCACCAAAUCGGACGAAUUAGGCACCCGGGCACCAGGUGACCCGCAGGAGGGACCUUCAAAGGGUCCAGCUAGCUCAGAGUAUCUGUGAGUGGACUGUUUGUUUUAUAAACGUUUUAUGCAUUUUAAUUUCAUUAUUUGAUCUUGAAUAAGUUUUACUGAAUACAGCUUUCCUAGCAUGACUUGAUAGAUUUAAAUAUUUCUGUUUAUUUAUGUGCUGCCUAGUGGAACAUUUAAAAAGGGAUUUGGAAAGUUAGAACUGAGGUAUUAUCAGAUUAAAUGGCAGCAGGAUUUAAGGAAUAGUUUUAUAAGUAG
Molecule: non-coding RNA, 744 nt
Organism: Prunus avium (sweet cherry)
Lineage: Eukaryota; Viridiplantae; Streptophyta; Magnoliopsida; Rosales; Rosaceae
Source: RefSeq, a predicted model, not a curated record